Molecule: ribosomal RNA, 501 nt
Filed under: uncultured bacterium
Lineage: Bacteria
Description: partial 16S ribosomal RNA
Rfam family: Bacterial small subunit ribosomal RNA
Source: RNAcentral
AUUGAACGCUGGCGGCAUGCCUUACACAUGCAAGUCGAACGGCAGCACGGGUGCUUGCACCUGGUGGCGAGUGGCGAACGGGUGAGUAAUACAUCGGAACGUACCUUAUCGUGGGGGAUAACGCAGCGAAAGCUGUGCUAAUACCGCAUACGCCCUGAGGGGGAAAGCGGGGGAUCGCAAGACCUCGCGCGAUUAGAGCGGCCGAUGCCUGAUUAGCUUGUUGGUGGGGUAAAAGCCCACCAAGGCGACGAUCAGUAGCUGGUCUGAGAGGAUGGUCAGCCACGCUGGGACUGAGACACGGCCCAGACUCCUACGGGAGGCAGCAGUGGGGAAUUUUGGACAAUGGGGGCAACCCUGAUCCAGCAAUGCCGCGUGAGUGAAGAAGGCCUUCGGGUUGUAAAGCUCUUUUGUCAGGGAAGAAACACCGGCUCUAACACAGUCCGGGAAUGACGGUACCUGAAGAAUAAGCACCGGCUAACUACGUGCCAGCCGCCGCCGUAA